AGCGAACGCUGGCGGUAGGCCUAACACAUGCAAGUCGAACGGCAGCACAGUAAGAGCUUGCUCUUACGGGUGGCGAGUGGCGACCGGGUGGGAACAACAGAGGAACCUACCUUUUCGUGGGGGAUAACGUAGGGAAACUUACGCUAAUACCGCAUACGACCUACGGGUCAAAGCAUGGGAUCUUCGAACCUUGCGUGACUGAAUGAGCCGAUGUCGGAUUAGCUCGUUGGGGGGGUAAGGGCCCACCAUGGCGACGCUGCGUCGCUGGUCUGACAGGAUGGUCAGCCACACUGGAAGUGAUGCGCGGCCCAGACUCCUACGAGAGGCAGCAGCAGGGAAUAUUGGAGAAUGGGCGGAAGCCUGAUCCUGCCAUGCCGCGUGGGUGGAGAAGGCGUUCGGGUUGUAGAGACCUUUUGUUGGGAGAGAAGAGCAGCUGGUUCGUACGCCGCUGGUCUGACGGUACCCAAAUAAGAAGCACCGGCUAACUACGUG
RNAcentral lists this ribosomal RNA (492 nucleotides) under uncultured bacterium. Its description in RNAcentral is "partial 16S ribosomal RNA". It matches the Rfam family "Bacterial small subunit ribosomal RNA", at positions 29 to 507 of the family's 1533-position model. The record is from RNAcentral.